This 729-nucleotide long non-coding RNA is filed under the name Oryza sativa Indica Group (long-grained rice). RNAcentral's name for it is "lncRNA OsMH63_11G001800". Lineage: Eukaryota; Viridiplantae; Streptophyta; Magnoliopsida; Poales; Poaceae. The record is from RNAcentral.
CUGAAGGAUUGGAGUCCUGCAUUUGUUGAAGAACUCCAUGAAGGGUAGGUCCAGCAUUAAACGAAAGAUUAGGGCACUGUUUAUCUUUGCACUCAAUGAAUGAGAACAGGGCAAGAAAAAAAAGUUGGGAGCUGAUUUCGUUUGCACUGAAUGUGAUCGGGGGACCACCUACACAGUUGCCGACAGCAACCAUCGGAGAGGUCCAUGAGGUCGGCAACCUGCUCCGCCGCCGCCUCGUCGAACAGCCACUUCUCAAUCGAAGACAGCGGCGCCGCCGCCUGGUUCAUCAGCUGCUGCUUGCUCUCGUCGCCGUAGCCGCCGCCAUAGCCGCCGUACUCCAUAAACGACGACGCCGGCUGCUGCUGAUGAACGUCGAAGCAGCAGUCCAGGUCGGCGCCGGACAUGCAGUCGAAGGACGACAGCAAGGGGUUGCCGACGACAUCGACGGCGGGCUUGACGUCGUCGUAAUAGCCGCCGUCAUAGUGCUGCAGCGGCGGCGGCGGCGGCGACGGCGAGUUGGUCUUCAUGAAGCCGUCGAGCAGCUUGGAGAUGUUGUCCAUGCUGGAGGCGUAGGAGGAGGAUGGGCAGUCGGCGAAGGGGGAGCGCCUAGCAAUGGCUGCCAUCUGGUUGACAUCGGAGUUGCUGCUCACCGUGUGGCUGCCGGCGGCGGAGGGGAAGGUGGCGUCGGCGAAGAUGGGGUGGCGGUUGGAGGCUGCUGAAGUGGAGUUG